RNAcentral lists this ribosomal RNA (118 nucleotides) under Lepisosteus oculatus (spotted gar). Lineage: Eukaryota; Metazoa; Chordata; Actinopteri; Semionotiformes; Lepisosteidae. The record is from RNAcentral.
GCCAGCACCCAUAUCAACCUGCAGCUCUUAACUGGCUACCCCUCUGAAGCUCAGCAGGGUUGAGCCUGGCCAGUACCUGGAUGGGAGACCUCCUGGGAAGCUAUGGUUGCUGCUGGAA